AAGGUUUUCCGGUAUUUAUGGGGCGUAGACGCAGACGCGCAGCGCGGUUCUCUAUAAUGUCUGUAUGUGAAAGCCCCCGCUCUCCACCGGGAGAGGGUCAUGUGAGAAACUGGAGAGACUUACUGUGCAGAAGAGGAGAGUGGAAUUCCAUGUGUAGCGGUGAUAUGCAUAUAUAUAUGGAGGAACACCAGUGGCGAGCGCGGCUCUCUUGUCUGUAACUGACUCUGACGCUCGAAAGCGUGGGGAGCAAACAAGAUUAGAUACCCUGGUAGCUCCACGCCGUAAACGAUGAGUGCUAAGUGUUGGAGGGUUUCCGCCCUUCACUGCUGCAGCAAACGCAUUAACCCCUCCGCCUGGGGAGUACGACCGCGUGGUUGAAACUCAGAGGAAUUGACGGGGGCCCGCACAAGCGGUGGAGCAUGUGGUUUAAUUCUAAGCAACGCAAACAACCUUACCAGGUCUUGACAUCCUUUGACCACUCUAUAGAUAUAGCUUUCCCUUCAGGGACAAAGUGACAGGUGGUGCAUGGUUGUCGUCAGCUCGUGUCAUGAGAUGUUGGGUUAAGUCCCGCAACCAGCGCAACCCUUAUUGUUARUUGCCAUCAUUUACUUGCGCACUCUACCGACACUGCCAGUCACAAAACGGAGGAAAGUGGGGAUGACGUCAAAUCAUCAUGCCCCUUAUGACCUGGGCUACACACAUGCUACAAUGGGAAAUACAACGAGUCGCUAGACCGCCAAGUCAUGCAAAUCUCUUAAAACUUCUCUCACUUCCGAUUGCACGCUGCAACUCGCCUACAUGAAGCCAGAAUCGAUAGUAAUCCCCGAUCAACACCCUCCCGUGAAUACGUUCCCGGCCUUGUACACCCGACCUUCACACCCCAAAACUUUUUAACACCCGUAAUUCGCUAACGUAACCUUUUUGAUCCCACCCCCUAAAGUGGAAAAAUAAUUGGGGUAAGUCUUACAAGGUCCCCUAAACCCCUGCAUCCAUAUGAA
RNAcentral lists this ribosomal RNA (998 nucleotides) under Enterococcus faecalis. RNAcentral describes it as "bacterial SSU rRNA". The record is from RNAcentral. Lineage: Bacteria; Bacillati; Bacillota; Bacilli; Lactobacillales; Enterococcaceae.